UACGUAGGGGGCUAGCGUUGUCCGGAAUCAUUGGGCGUAAAGCGCGUGUAGGCGGUUCGGUAAGUCCGCUGUGAAAGUCGGGGGCUCAACCCUCGGAUGCCGGUGGAUACUGUCGGACUAGAGUACGGAAGAGGCGAGUGGAAUUCCCGGUGUAGCAGUGAAAUGCGUAGAUAUCGGGAGGAAUACCGGUGGCGAAGGCGGGUCUCUGGGCCGAUACUGACGCUGAGGAGCGAAAGCGUGGGGAGCGAACAGG
Molecule: ribosomal RNA, 253 nt
Filed under: uncultured bacterium
Lineage: Bacteria
Description: partial 16S ribosomal RNA
Rfam family: Bacterial small subunit ribosomal RNA
Source: RNAcentral